This 233-nucleotide ribosomal RNA is filed under the name uncultured bacterium. RNAcentral describes it as "partial 16S ribosomal RNA". It matches the Rfam family "Bacterial small subunit ribosomal RNA", at positions 524 to 756 of the family's 1533-position model. The record is from RNAcentral.
UACGAAGGGGGCUAGCGUUGUUCGGAAUUACUGGGCGUAAAGGGCGCGUAGGCGGUACUUCAAGUCAGGCGUGAAAGCCCCGGGCUCAACCUGGGAACCGCGCUUGAGACUGGAGAACUAGAGUUCGGGAGAGGAUGGUGGAAUUCCCAGUGUAGAGGUGAAAUUCGUAGAUAUUGGGAAGAACACCGAUGGCGAAGGCAGCGAGCUGGACCGACACUGACGCUGAGGCGCGA